Molecule: long non-coding RNA, 209 nt
Filed under: Helianthus annuus (common sunflower)
Lineage: Eukaryota; Viridiplantae; Streptophyta; Magnoliopsida; Asterales; Asteraceae
Description: sRNA HanXRQr2_Chr13g0585481
Source: RNAcentral
GUUUAACACUUAACGAGCAAGGUGGAGGCUUGGGAAGAAACGGGUCAAACGAAUCAAGAAGGAAAAGAAAAGCGUAGCUCGGAUACGAGGAAUUUAACCCAUGGUUCGCAUUGCUAUUGAUUAGAAAUUAAUAGCAAAAGGUAUGUAAAUGGGUCAAUCCCAUGACUCGAGCCAGGUAAAGAUGCUCUUUAGACCCCGGAGGAUGAUCA